Molecule: ribosomal RNA, 433 nt
Filed under: uncultured bacterium
Lineage: Bacteria
Description: partial 16S ribosomal RNA
Rfam family: Bacterial small subunit ribosomal RNA
Source: RNAcentral
GCGAACGCUGGCGGCAGGCCUCACCCAUGCCAGUCGAACGAACCUUUCGGGGUUAGUGGCGGACGGGUGAGUAACACGUGGGAACGUGCCUUUAGGUUCGGAAUAACUCAGGGAAACUUGUGCUAAUACCGAAUGUGCCCUUCGGGGGAAAGAUUUAUCGCCUUUAGAGCGGCCCGCGUCUGAUUAGCUAGUUGGUUGAGGUAAUGGCUCACCAAGGCGACGAUCAGUAGCUGGUCUGAGAGGAUGAUCAGCCACAUUGGGACUGAGACACGGCCCAAACUCCUACGGGAGGCAGCAGUGGGGAAUCUUGCGCAAUGGGCGAAAGCCUGACGCAGCCAUGCCGCGUGAAUGAUGAAGGUCUUAGGAUUGUAAAAUUCUUUCACCGGGGACGAUAAUGACGGUACCCGGAGAAGAAGCCCCGGCUAACUUCGUG